GACGAACGCUGGCGGCGUGCUUAACACAUGCAAGUCGAACGGAAAGGCCUGCUUUCCCUUGUGGAUUGCGGGUACUCGAGUGGCGAACGGGUGAGUAACACGUGAGUGAUCUGCCCCCAACUUGGGUAUAAGCCUGGGAAACUGGGUCUAAUUCCCGAUAGGACUGCAGGGUGGUGCCUGUGGUGGAAAACGAUUUUCUAGUGGUUGGGGAUGAGCUCGCGGCCUAUCAGCUUGUUGGUGGGGUAAUGGCCUACCAAGGCGGCGACGGGUAGCCGGCCUGAGAGGGUGGACGGCCACAUUGGGACUGAGGUACGGCCCAGACUCCUACGGGAGGCAGCAGUGGGGAAUAUUGCACAAUGGGCGGAAGCCUGAUGCAGCGACGCCGCGUGGGGGAUGACGGCCUCGGGUUGUAAACUCCUUUCGACCGCGAGGAAGCCACCUGGUUGGAAGGGUGGUGACGGUAGUGGUAGAAGAAGCACCGGCUAACUACGUG
RNAcentral lists this ribosomal RNA (493 nucleotides) under uncultured bacterium. RNAcentral describes it as "partial 16S ribosomal RNA". It matches the Rfam family "Bacterial small subunit ribosomal RNA", at positions 28 to 507 of the family's 1533-position model. The record is from RNAcentral.